Molecule: small nuclear RNA, 318 nt
Filed under: Erinaceus europaeus (western European hedgehog)
Lineage: Eukaryota; Metazoa; Chordata; Mammalia; Eulipotyphla; Erinaceidae
Description: 7SK RNA
Rfam family: 7SK RNA
About the family: 7SK was discovered as an abundant small nuclear RNA in the mid-70s but a possible function has only recently been suggested. Two independent studies have found that 7SK RNA binds the CDK9/cyclin T complex (known as elongation factor P-TEFb).
Source: Rfam by way of RNAcentral
GAAUGUGAGGGCGAUCUGGCUGCAACAUCUGUCACCCCAUUGAUAGCCAAGGUUGAUUCAGCUGAUCUGGCUGGCUAGGUGGGUGUCCCCUUCCUCCCUCACUGCUACAUGUGCGUCCCUCCUGAAGCUGUGUGCGGGCUUAGUCAAAGAGGACGGACUUCCCCAAAUAGAGACGGACCGGUCUUCAGUCCAAGGUUUACGAGUAGCUGCACUCCCCUGCUAGGACCUCCAAACAAGCUCUCAAGACCCACUUCCUGGAUGGGAAGAAGGUCCAGGAGAAGAUUCAGACCCACCUGGGCACUGUGUGCACAGUCUAGU